Molecule: transfer RNA, 71 nt
Organism: Dictyostelium purpureum
Lineage: Eukaryota; Evosea; Eumycetozoa; Dictyosteliales; Dictyosteliaceae
Rfam family: tRNA
About the family: Transfer RNA (tRNA) molecules are approximately 80 nucleotides in length. Their secondary structure includes four short double-helical elements and three loops (D, anti-codon, and T loops).
Source: Rfam
GCUCCCGUUGUCUAAUGGUAUGAUAACUGCCUUCCAAGCAGUUGGCCCGGGUUCGAUUCCCGGCGAGAGCA